GGGGAAUAUUGCACAAUGGGCGAAAGCCUGAUGCAGCGACGCCGCGUGAGUGAAGAAGGUUUUCGGAUUGUAAAGCUCUGUCAUCUGGGACGAUAAUGACGGUACCAGAGGAGGAAGCCACGGCUAACUACGUGCCAGCAGCCGCGGUAAUACGUAGGUGGCAAGCGUUGUCCGGAUUUACUGGGCGUAAAGGAUGUGUAGGCGGAUAUUUAAGUGAGAUGUGAAAUCCCCGGGCUUAACUUGGGGGCUGCAUUUCAAACUGUAUGUCUAGAGUGCAGGAGAGGAAAGCAGAAUUCCUAGUGUAGCGGUGAAAUGCGUAGAGAUUAGGAAGAAUACCAGUGGCGAAGGCGACUCUCUGGGCUGUAACUGACGCUGAGGCGCGAAAGCGUGGGGAGCAAAC
This 400-nucleotide ribosomal RNA is filed under the name uncultured bacterium. RNAcentral's name for it is "bacterial SSU rRNA". It matches the Rfam family "Bacterial small subunit ribosomal RNA", at positions 356 to 773 of the family's 1533-position model. The record is from RNAcentral.